GGUGGCCCCAUUCGUCCGAUGGCUCCUCCUACAACAUGGCUAGUGCUAUCAUUAUCGCUGCUAGCCAAUCAGACGGACUGUUUUGCCCUGCAGAAGAACUCUACUGGACCCGGCUACUUUCUUACGCCGUUCUUCUGCCACAUCCUUUUACCCUUUAUCCGUCACUGGGAAAAGAGAAAAGCAGAUAUCCACUGGAGUGACGUCACCCCCCCCCCCCCUCCAGCUCUAUGUCCAAUACAAAGAUCAGGAGGAAGGGGAAGAAAAUGGGGAAGAGGAGAAAGAAAGGGAGAAGAGAAGUGCAAGUCGUGUCCCAGUGUCCCUAUUGUCCAGAGGGCUGAAGGUGCCAGGUCUGUCCCCAGGGAAGAUCUACUCUCUGUCCCUCAGAGCCUCUAACCUCGCUGGGGCCGCUUGAAGCCUUGGGAACACGCACAUCACUCACACACGGCCCCUUCCCCCUUGGAACAUCACCAUUUGCUAUGUGACAGCCAGUCAGAUCACAGUAAGCUGGACGGCCCCAGACUCCCAGCAUGCUGUGCUGUUCCUGGUUUGCUGGGGGGAUGUAGCCUUAGGCCAGGAGAGGAGAAGGGGUGUGGCCAGCAGUUCCAGGUCGACUGUGAUUGGUGGACUGGAGGGGUUCAGGAAGUACAGGGUCAGAGUUAACUCCGUCACAGAACAUGAUGUGGCAAGUAGUGGAGGAACUGACCAUACACACUGGUGGUGUGUAUGUUUCUAGCAGAGGGGAGAAUCUGACAACGUGUUGGCCGACCCUGUCAGGUGUGUGUGUGUGUACUUCUGCCGUCACCCAGCAGUGUGAGAGAGGGCUCAGUAACAGAGUCGUCAUUAGAGAUGCUUUGGGAUCCAGCCCCUGGACAUGGACACAACUAUGAAGUCAUCUGUCUCGACUGUCACCACACGCUUAUGGUACUUCUGUAGAGUGUGUGUGUGUGUUUAUAAAGUGUGUGUGCAUGUAUACUGUGUGUGGUCGAGUAUCAAAUCAAGUGCCAUGUAGACUAAGAGUGAAAU
This is a long non-coding RNA of Oncorhynchus gorbuscha (pink salmon), 1023 nucleotides long. RefSeq lists it as uncharacterized. The transcript is spliced from 3 exons. NCBI's taxonomy places the organism in Eukaryota, Metazoa, Chordata, Actinopteri, Salmoniformes, Salmonidae. The record is from RefSeq and is a predicted model, not a curated record.